CCCAGACUCCUACGGGAGGCAGCAGUGGGGAAUAUUGCACAAUGGGGGGAACCCUGAUGCAGCGACGCCGCGUGGGUGAAGGAGUAUUUCGGUAUGUAAAGCCCUCUCAGCAGGGAAGAACAAUGACGGUACCUGACUAAGAAGCACCGGCUAAGUACGUGCCAGCAGCCGCGGUAAUACGUAUGGUGCAAGCGUUAUCCGGAUUUACUGGGUGUAAAGGGAGCGCAGGCGGCGCGUUAAGCCUGGUGUGAAAGCCCGCGGCCCAACCGCGGGACUGCAGUGGGAACUGGCGCGCUGGAGUGCCGGAGGGGUAGGCGGAAUUCCUAGUGUAGCGGUGAAAUGCGUAGAUAUUAGGAGGAACACCAGUGGCGAAGGCGGCCUGCUGGACGACAACUGACGGUGAGGCGCGAAAGCGUGGGGAGCAAACAGGAUUAGAUACCCGAGUAGUG
This 449-nucleotide ribosomal RNA is filed under the name uncultured bacterium. RNAcentral's name for it is "bacterial SSU rRNA". It matches the Rfam family "Bacterial small subunit ribosomal RNA", at positions 330 to 795 of the family's 1533-position model. The record is from RNAcentral.